Molecule: long non-coding RNA, 893 nt
Organism: Engraulis encrasicolus (European anchovy)
Lineage: Eukaryota; Metazoa; Chordata; Actinopteri; Clupeiformes; Engraulidae
Exons: 3
Source: RefSeq, a predicted model, not a curated record
UUCUCAAAACUGAUAAUCAUACUUAUACCUCGUUCAAAAAGUCGAGAAUCCCCAGAAAGCCGACCUAAAACCUCGGGAAAGUGGGAGUGAACAUUUGGUGACGCAAUGUCAGAUCGAUAAUUAUCGAGGUUGAUCUCUGGCGGAAGUAUAGAAGAACGAGUUCCCGAGCUUGUGUUUUGUGUGACGACACACGCAUCAUCAACAUGGCGCCCAUGCAUGCAACUGACAUGUAAACAGUAUCAUAAAUGCUAAAAUAUCAUCUUGUAAUCACUAUCAACAACACCAGUCAAUGUCAUUCAAUUGCAGAUGCACAUAGGUCAGUAAUGCUGGUCUCUGGCUGUUUAAUUUAGCUUACUUCAGCUAAAAUUAUAUGUCGUGGGUGUGGAGGCUCAAGGUGAGGUGAAAAAAAGAAAAGAGAACCAAAACAAAACACGCAUGAAUCCCGAUUGUUCCGGGAUCAGUGGCGUUCAUGCGCCAAACUCCAGAACUCGAUUGUCAUGUGAGCAGUGUCGUCAGCUGUCUCGAGAGGUCCCGAGCUGGUGAAGGCAACAUUAGACUACCCAGUGACGUGAUUGUGCCCAAUGAAACAGGAGGCCUCGAUUCGUGCAGAAGAUAAGGUUUGAAACCCAGACAGCACGAAGCAUCUUGCCGACGUCAAAAUCAGAUCAACAGACAGGGACAUCAGCCUUCUCUUGGGAAUAGGCCAGAUAUGCCAGAACAAGAAAUGUCUAUAUCUUGGACUGAAAAAGGAUGCUUUGCCCCUGCGGUUGUGAAGAGGAUGCUGUGGAGGUGGCAGCAUGAACGUGUCACACAGACAUUGGCUAAACUACUCGGUAGGUACAACGAAAUAAAAGAAACCACCCCCUCAACCCUGUUUAUGCUGCACUGUACCU